This 74-nucleotide transfer RNA is filed under the name Apaloderma vittatum (bar-tailed trogon). It matches the Rfam family "tRNA". Rfam says of the family: Transfer RNA (tRNA) molecules are approximately 80 nucleotides in length. Their secondary structure includes four short double-helical elements and three loops (D, anti-codon, and T loops). The record is from Rfam by way of RNAcentral. Lineage: Eukaryota; Metazoa; Chordata; Aves; Trogoniformes; Trogonidae.
GGAAGGAUAGCUCACCUGGUUAGAGCGUGGUGCUGAUAACACCAAGGUCACGGGUUCAAUUCCCAUUCGAUCCC